Molecule: long non-coding RNA, 884 nt
Organism: Rhincodon typus (whale shark)
Lineage: Eukaryota; Metazoa; Chordata; Chondrichthyes; Orectolobiformes; Rhincodontidae
Exons: 3
Source: RefSeq, a predicted model, not a curated record
AAAAAAAACAUACCAAGUGGUUGUUUUUGUUUGUCUGCUUGAUAUUCACAGGACAAACCUCUGACUGAUCUUUGAUCUGUUCCAGAAUGCCAAGUCAUGCAGACUGCAGAAGACAUAAAGGAGCCAGUAGAGCGGACUGAUGUUAAACUUUGAUGCCAUCCAUUUGUGCACCAGAGACCAACACCAUCAGAAUGUUACUGAGGAACUUUCAAGUCAUGUUGUACAACUGGAUUGAACAAACUGACUUCUAAUCAAGAUUAAUGAACAACCACUUUCCCCAUCCUGACCCUGAUUCUCCCUAUACCCCCUCCCCCACCAAAUAUUCAACUUAUUCCAUCCCAUCUCAGUUUGAUGUGCACUUCUUAAAGAAACUGGACCCUUUAUAUACAAGUACCAUGGGCAGAAACCAUACUUAAUUGGAUUAGUGCUUUAAACCAUCACAAUGUAUGCCUGUAUCAGCACCAACAAUGUCUAAAGGAAAUCCUUAACUAUAUUUCUUAUUAUGGAAAUCAUCUUUUACAUUAAGACAUUGAUGGACUGGGCAGAAAUGGUGUUUGAGGACAUAUAUAUCACUGAGUUGACAAUGGACAAUGACUUUUUUCUCCCAAAAGACUCCUUUGCCAAUCCUCUGGUCUGUUCUGUUUCUGCCUUGUCCUCAGCACACUGCCACAGUACGGGACAUUGAUGCAAUAUUAGUCAUUUGGUGUCGAUGGAACGGAAAACAUACCACCCUCCAGAUUUCUUGUUUCCCUUUAUUCUUUUUCUCUUUUUUUUAAAGAAUGGAAGACUUUUUGUAUUCAAAAUAAGGGUGUUUUAAAUCUUAUAGUUUUGUACAAUGUAAUUUUUUAAAGUGUGUAAUUUUAGUAAAGACACUUGAUGCACAA